This 253-nucleotide ribosomal RNA is filed under the name uncultured bacterium. RNAcentral's name for it is "partial 16S ribosomal RNA". It matches the Rfam family "Bacterial small subunit ribosomal RNA", at positions 524 to 776 of the family's 1533-position model. The record is from RNAcentral.
UACGUAGGGUGCAAGCGUUACUCGGAAUUACUGGGCGUAAAGCGUGCGCAGGCGGCUUUGCAAGUCAGAUGUGAAAUCCCCGGGCUUAACCUGGGAACUGCAUUUGUGACUGCAUGGCUGGAGUGCGGCAGAGGGGGAUGGAAUUCCGCGUGUAGCAGUGAAAUGCGUAGAUAUGCGGAGGAACACCGAUGGCGAAGGCAGUCCCCUGGGCCUGCACUGACGCUCAUGCACGAAAGCGUGGGGAGCAAACAGG